RNAcentral lists this long non-coding RNA (1134 nucleotides) under Gadus morhua (Atlantic cod). RNAcentral describes it as "lncRNA (ENSGMOG00000030445.1)". The record is from RNAcentral. Lineage: Eukaryota; Metazoa; Chordata; Actinopteri; Gadiformes; Gadidae.
CUUUAAAAUGUUUCAAAAAUAUCUUUAAAAUGUUUCAAAAAUAUGAUCAGAGAUAUUAAAGAUGUGUAAAAUAUGUUCAGAUGUUUAAAGGACAAUUCCGGUAUUUUGAACAUUGAGCCCCCUUUCUGGUUUGUUUAUGAUGAAAUAGAGUGGGUGACACCGAAAUUUUAACUAUUAGUCCUUUCUCGGGUAUUUGGCUCAUUUUGAAUCGCUCCUGCCUGCUUCACAAUGGUUGUCUGUGUGCAUACACAAACCUGUCAUCCCAGCAACCCUAAACGUUCGUUUUCGAAAAUGUGCAAGUAACCGAGUGGUUAGUGGCAUUUGUGAAGUUUAAAAAAAAAUUAUCGGCGCAAUAUAUGGUUUCUGUCGUGUUUUAUUGCACAUUUAUCGCCAGUUGAUUUCAGUUGGAAGACUCAUUACUGCUCGUUGAUAUUACUCCGCCGAACCGGAAAGGUGGGCUGUUUACGUUGGUUUGAAGUCUUGUACCGUGACUUGAGCACCUCGGAUUAGGGAAAAUCAUUGAAAAUGGAAUAUGAAAGGUGGCUUCUGGAGGACGCACUCGAUUUUGAGUUUGACGGCAGAGGAUAUCGGUAUGAACCAGAAUACACCCAAGAGGAGCUACGGGAGAUGGAGGCCAGGGCUACGGAGGCGCCUGAAGCUCCGGCUGAAGCGGUCCCCAGGAUCGCGGGAAAUUGGUGGUGUGCCUGUGGGAAGUGCAGGCAGAUGCCGACGGAGCACGAAAGUAGGUGCUGCACGGAGUGGGACCUUGUCGUCACAGCUGGUAUGGCCAACCUCAAUGUCUCGGUCGACGAGACUGUGUCGCCCUGCAUCUCUCUAAAUGAAGUGCGCCAUCUCCUAAAUAAAACCGUGCUGGAGACUUUCUUCUGGGUCCCUAAAAUUAACUGGAAGAAACGCCCCACACCCGAAGGACCGAAUGGCCAACUGUCAGAUAGUCAAUACCGACUUGUGGCUUAUCGAGUCAUUCUGGAGUGGGCCCUCAAAGGUCAACCACUGGGACGAGGAAAUCGCCUUGCAUUACCCAGUUGCGUGGUGUGGGCUGUUAGGGAUGCGUUCCCAUCCCCCACUGGACAGUAUGCUGGGUUUAAUCCCAGUGAGAUAGAGGAAUUAUUCUGA